RNAcentral lists this ribosomal RNA (540 nucleotides) under uncultured bacterium. RNAcentral describes it as "bacterial SSU rRNA". It matches the Rfam family "Bacterial small subunit ribosomal RNA", at positions 777 to 1314 of the family's 1533-position model. The record is from RNAcentral.
AAUAGAUACCCGGGUAGUCCACGCCGUAAACGAUGAGUGCUAAGUGUUAGGGGGUUUCCGCCCCUUAGUGCUGCAGCUAACGCAUUAAGCACUCCGCCUGGGGAGUACGGCCGCAAGGCUGAAACUCAAAGGAAUUGACGGGGGCCCGCACAAGCGGUGGAGCAUGUGGUUUAAUUCGAAGCAACGCGAAGAACCUUACCAGGUCUUGACAUCUCCUGACCGCCCUGGAGACAGGGUCUUCCCUUCGGGGACAGGAUGACAGGUGGUGCAUGGUUGUCGUCAGCUCGUGUCGUGAGAUGUUGGGUUAAGUCCCGCAACGAGCGCAACCCUUGUCCUUAGUUGCCAGCAUUCAGUUGGGCACUCUAAGGAGACUGCCGGCUAAAAGUCGGAGGAAGGUGGGGAUGACGGUCAAAUCAUCAUGCCCCUUAUGACCUGGGCUACACACGUGCUACAAUGGGCGGUACAGAGGGUCGCGAACCCGCGAGGGGGAGCCGAAUCCCAAAAAACCGGCUCUCAGUUCGGAUUGCAGGCUGCAACUCG